Molecule: ribosomal RNA, 498 nt
Filed under: uncultured bacterium
Lineage: Bacteria
Description: partial 16S ribosomal RNA
Rfam family: Bacterial small subunit ribosomal RNA
Source: RNAcentral
GACGAACGCUGGCGGCGUGCCUAAUACAUGCAAGUCGAACGAGAGCGACCGGUGCUUGCACUGGUCAAUCUAGUGGCGAACGGGUGAGUAACACGUGGGUAACCUGCCCAUCAGAGGGGGAUAACAUCCGGAAACGGAUGCUAAAACCGCAUAGGUCUUCGAACCGCAUGGUUUGAAGAGGAAAAGAGGCGCAAGCUUCUGCUGAUGGAUGGACCCGCGGUGCAUUAGCUAGUUGGUGAGGUAACGGCUCACCAAGGCCGUGAUGCAUAGCCGACCUGAGAGGGUGAUCGGCCACAUUGGGACUGAGACACGGCCCAAACUCCUACGGGAGGCAGUAGUAGGGAAUCUUCCGCAAUGGACGCAAGUCUGACGGAGCAACGCCGCGUGAGUGAAGAAGGUUUUCGGAUCGUAAAACUCUGUUGUUAGAGAAGAACAAGUGCUAGAGUAACUGUUAGCGCCUUGACGGUAUCUAACCAGAAAGCCACGGCUAACUACGUG